CUGAUCCCCAACCUGUUUCUGCUUCAGAAAACUAGUUCUUCUGUAUUAUGAAAGCAAAUCACCUUUCCUGUUUGCAUAAAGGGGCAUAAAAACCAUGGGGACAUUAACAGAAAACAGAGUAACCUUGUUCACGUUUUAGAGUAUCUUAUGAUUUAAAAAGCAGAAAAGGAAUGUGCAGUUUGGAACAGUUCAGAUUUGUCUCAAUCAAAAUAUGCAAAAGGUCUUCUGGAUUCUGAAGUUUAUCUCACCAUUCCAUGUCUGCUACCAUCACAAAGAGUCGCUUAUGAUGCAGGCAAUAAAAAAUUAGAUGUUUGAAAUUUCUGGCUCUUCAUAAAUGCUGAAAUUGUGCCAAAGAAAUAAUAAUAGUUAUAGGUCUAAGUGUAU
RNAcentral lists this long non-coding RNA (384 nucleotides) under Bos taurus (domestic cattle). Its description in RNAcentral is "long non-coding RNA NONBTAT012597". Lineage: Eukaryota; Metazoa; Chordata; Mammalia; Artiodactyla; Bovidae. The record is from RNAcentral.